Molecule: long non-coding RNA, 872 nt
Organism: Brassica rapa (field mustard)
Lineage: Eukaryota; Viridiplantae; Streptophyta; Magnoliopsida; Brassicales; Brassicaceae
Source: RefSeq, a predicted model, not a curated record
CACGAUCUCUUCCUCUUCCUACUACUCAUCUUUCAUAUACUAAAUCGUUCUCUAAGUUCACUAAUAUUAAAAUUUCCGGUGAACCUCUUCCUGUUUAAGUUUAUCCUCUGAACUUUAUAAGUUCUUUCCUCUUGAUAUAUUGGCUUUGAAACUCAUAAUGAUCAAACUUUUUCCAAAACUUUAGUUUAUGGGAGAUGAUUUCGUUUUUGAUUUUGUUUGUGGAUUCUUUUAAAUUUAUUCAUGUAUUGAUUAUCAUUUUUUAAUUCAAAAGCUUCGUUUAUGGGAGAUGAUUUAGAUUUCGAUUUUGGUGGUUGAUUUUGUUUCAGUUUUCUUUUAUUGUUUUUUUAAAUUCCUCUCCCUUUGAUAAUCUCCUUUAUGCUUCCCCUUCGAUUGCUGUUCAACGAGUCACAGAAAAGUAAAGCACUUUAUUGGCCUUUCACUGAAUUUUGCAGCUACGUAUUAUCUUUCUCAAAGUUUAUUGAUGAUCACAUCUUUGUCAGCUUCGUUUAGAUUCCACUCAAGUUAGGGGUAGUCAAAGAAUCUUUUUUUUUUCUCUUGAAUUUGAUACAGGUGACCAGCUUGAUAACAGGUUCGUCUUUUGCCAAAGAUUCUGACUUUCUUCAACAGAUUCAAACAAAGAGGGUUUAAAAGGAUAACACAAAGUCGUAAAGAAGAAACUAUGGCAUCUCAAUGUGCCAGUGCUAUGGUUGAGAUCAAUAUAUUGCCGUAUAAGAUCAACUUUGUUAUUCACUUAAUUUGUAUCCAAGCAUCCGUUUCUUUCGUAAUAAAGUGUGUAGUCUAUAAUAUCAGUGAUUUGAUUAGAAUCGUGAAACUAAUGCUGUAUAACAAAAUUAUUCACUGCUUUUUUUUUU